Molecule: ribosomal RNA, 715 nt
Filed under: uncultured Staphylococcus sp.
Lineage: Bacteria; Bacillati; Bacillota; Bacilli; Caryophanales; Staphylococcaceae
Description: bacterial SSU rRNA
Rfam family: Bacterial small subunit ribosomal RNA
Source: RNAcentral
AAGUCGAGCGAACGGACGAGAAGCUUGCUUCUCUGAUGUUAGCGGCGGACGGGUGAGUAACACGUGGAUAACCUACCUAUAAGACUGGGAUAACUUCGGGAAACCGGAGCUAAUACCGGAUAAUAUUUUGAACCGCAUGGUUCAAAAGUGAAAGACGGUCUUGCUGUCACUUAUAGAUGGAUCCGCGCUGCAUUAGCUAGUUGGUAAGGUAACGGCUUACCAAGGCAACGAUGCAUAGCCGACCUGAGAGGGUGAUCGGCCACACUGGAACUGAGACACGGUCCAGACUCCUACGGGAGGCAGCAGUAGGGAAUCUUCCGCAAUGGGCGAAAGCCUGACGGAGCAACGCCGCGUGAGUGAUGAAGGUCUUCGGAUCGUAAAACUCUGUUAUUAGGGAAGAACAUAUGUGUAAGUAACUGUGCACAUCUUGACGGUACCUAAUCAGAAAGCCACGGCUAACUACGUGCCAGCAGCCGCGGUAAUACGUAGGUGGCAAGCGUUAUCCGGAAUUAUUGGGCGUAAAGCGCGCGUAGGCGGUUUUUUAAGUCUGAUGUGAAAGCCCACGGCUCAACCGUGGAGGGUCAUUGGAAACUGGAAAACUUGAGUGCAGAAGAGGAAAGUGGAAUUCCAUGUGUAGCGGUGAAAUGCGCAGAGAUAUGGAGGAACACCAGUGGCGAAGGCGACUUUCUGGUCUGUAACUGACGCUGAUGUGCGA